Molecule: ribosomal RNA, 460 nt
Filed under: uncultured bacterium
Lineage: Bacteria
Description: partial 16S ribosomal RNA
Rfam family: Bacterial small subunit ribosomal RNA
Source: RNAcentral
CCUACGGGAGGCAGCAGUGAGGAAUCUUCGUCAAUGGACGAGAGUCUGAACCAGCCAAGUAGCGUGAAGGAUGAAUGCUCUAUGGGUGGUAAACUUCUUUUAUAAAGGAAUAAAACGAGGCACGUGUGCCUUUUUGCAUGUACUUUAUGAAUAAGGAUCGGCUAACUACGUGCCAGCAGCCGCGGUAAUACGGAGGAUCCGAGCGUUGUCCGGAUUUAUUGGGUUUAAAGGGAGCGUAGAUGGGUUGUUAAGUCAGUUGUGAAAGUUUGCGGCUCAACCGGAAAAUUGCAAUGGAUACUGGCAGUCUUGAGUACAGUUGAGGUAGGUGGAAUUCGUGGUGUAGCGGUGAAAUGCUUAGAUAUCACGAAGAACCCCGAUUGCGAAGGCAGCUUACUAAACUGUGACUGACAUUGAUGCUCGAAAGUGUGGGUAUCAAACAGGAUUAGAUACCCUAGUAGUC